UCCCCAGUGGCUCAGAGGUAAAGCAUCUGCCUGCAGUGCAGGAGACCCAGGAUCAAUCCCUGGGAUGGGAA
This 71-nucleotide transfer RNA is filed under the name Ovis aries (sheep). It matches the Rfam family "tRNA". Rfam says of the family: Transfer RNA (tRNA) molecules are approximately 80 nucleotides in length. The record is from Rfam by way of RNAcentral. Lineage: Eukaryota; Metazoa; Chordata; Mammalia; Artiodactyla; Bovidae.